ACACGCAUGACACACUGCAUAUCAAUAAGCGGAGGAAAAGAAACUAACAAGGAUUCCCUUAGUAACGGCGAGUGAAGCGGGAAGAGCUCAAAUUUGAAAUCUUCAAGGUUCUACCUUGACGAAUUGUAGUUUAUAGAAGUGUUUUCUGUUAGUGGAGUGGCAAAAGUUCUUUGGAAUAGGACAUCAUAGAGGGUGAGAAUCCCGUAUUUGGUCAUUCCUCCUAGCGUUGUGAUACACUUUCAACGAGUCGGGUUGUUUGGGAAUGCAGUCCAAAAUGGGUGGUAAAUUUCAUCUAAAGCUAAAUAUUGGCGAGAGACCGAUAGCGAACAAGUACCGUGAGGGAAAGAUGAAAAGAACUUUGAAAAGAGAGUUAAACAGUACGUGAAAUUGUCAAAAGGGAAGCGUUUGACACCAGUGUUGUUUUUCCGAAAAUCAAUUACGAAUGUUUUGUUUUUGAGAGAGUUAUGACUUCAUCGGCUUGCUUCUUUCUUUACGAAACUUUCUUAAUGCACUUUUCGGUUAACAAGUCAACAUCAAUUUCUUUUGUUGUAAAAGGGUAUGAGGAAGGUGGCUUUCUUUUCGGAGAAAGUGUUUAUAGCCUUGUAGCCUCUGCAAUCGGAGAGAUUGAGGUCUGCAGCGUAGAUCCUUCGGGGUUAGAUACAGUUUGUGCUAAGUUAUAGCUUUUCAUAGACAACUUGUUGACUAUGUUUAGUCUUGUAGCUUACUCGCUUAUGCUAUUUUACCUACGCUUAGGAUGUUGAUCUACAGAGCGAGAGU
RNAcentral lists this ribosomal RNA (777 nucleotides) under uncultured Neocallimastigales. Its description in RNAcentral is "partial large subunit ribosomal RNA". It matches the Rfam family "Eukaryotic large subunit ribosomal RNA", at positions 23 to 640 of the family's 3401-position model. Lineage: Eukaryota; Fungi; Neocallimastigomycota; Neocallimastigomycetes; Neocallimastigales. The record is from RNAcentral.